This is a non-coding RNA of Podarcis lilfordi (Lilford's wall lizard), 11698 nucleotides long. NCBI's taxonomy places the organism in Eukaryota, Metazoa, Chordata, Lepidosauria, Squamata, Lacertidae. The record is from the annotation of a GenBank genome assembly.
GGACUCUAAGUAGCUUGCAAAUAGUAAACUGUCAAGGAAAGAAAAGCUUGUUAGGUUAUAUCACUUUAUAGCUUCUGAUGCCAGGUAAAUACUUUUUUUUAUUUUGCUUUUUAUUCUAAAAUUCAUUGGUGCUGAAUGGCAUUGCUUUGACUGCUGCAGUUAUUUUUUAUAAUGUCACUUUAUUAUUUGUGUGGUGAUGUUUAUUGCUCUUAUUGGCAUUCUUCUUGCCAUGGUACACCACCCAGAGCCAAUCUUAAAGCAGAAUAGAUUCCAAUUUACAGCUUGGUGGACAUGAUAAACUAUUUUGACGAUAUCAUUGCUUGCAAACAUUUUAGCCCUUGCAGUGUUUUGCUACACAGAGAUUGAGAAAUGAGUUUCAAAGUUUGGGAUUUCUGGAACCUCCGUUCCUGAGAUGAGAGGGUGUAGCCUGGAACAUAAAGGGCGUGGCAUUGUAGAUGAUGAUGAUGAUAAUAAUAAUAAUAAUAAUAAUAAUAAUAAUAAUAUAUUAUUUAUACCCCGCCACUCUGGGUGGCUUUCAACAAAAUAUUAAAAUACAAUAGUCCUUCAGAUAUUAAAAGUUUCCCUAAACAGGGCUGCCUUCACAUGUCUCCUAAAAGUCUGGUAGUUGUUUUUUCCUUUGACAUCUGGUGGGAGGGCGUUUGACAGGGCAGGCGCCACUACCGAGAAGGCCCUCUGCCUGGUUCCCUGUAACUUGGCUUCUCGCAGUGAGGGAGCCACCAGAAAGCCCUCGGUGCUGGACCUCAGUGUCCGGGCAGAACGAUGCGGGUGGAGAUGCUCCUUCAGGUAUACUGGACCGAGGCCAUUUAGGGAUUUAAAGGUCAGCACCAGCACUUUGAAUUGUGCUCAGAAACGUAGAUCAGGGAAGAAGAGUUUGGCGGAUGAAGUGGGGAGCCUAGCUGCUCUCCAUGGGUCACAGAGCAGAACCUGAUUGACAUGGGAACUGAGCUAAUAGCAAAAAGCUCUUACUGAGCCAAGCAGAAAAUAACUUUUCCCCCAUCUUAAAUUCUUCUGGACGGCCCCUGAGGAGUAGAAAACACAGAAAUGUCAGGUCAGACUCAGACUUGGCAACCCAGUUCUUAUACCUAGUCACUUACUUUCCCCACAAAAGAUCCCAGCUUAUUUCUUGCCAUUGCCUUUUCAGACCUUGUUUAUGCAGUCAGAAAGGCCUAAAGGUUGUAUUCGUAGCUGAAAUGAGCCCAUCAGCGUUUCCACAUCAACUGGCAGGUUGCACAAAUGUUUGUGUUGCAACCAUGUGUGUCACAUUGCGACUUGGGUAUAAAUAGCUGCAAGGAAAACAGGCUGCAACAAAGGGAGUAGGGAACCCUCUCCCAAUACAUAUGCUAAAAAAGUUGUUUAAAAAAAAUAUCCAGACAUUUACAUUUGAUUCAGGCCAUUUCUUGCUUUCUGCGCCCUUCCCAUGCCGUAAACUGCCAUUAAUAAUUAGUCUGUCUCUAUGAAGGGUAUACGGAAUGCCCUAAACUGUUGCUUCCCAUUUUACAAAGAAGCGUAUUUGCAAAACCUCACAGAUGGCUUUCCCUUGAGGCGCUGUGGCCUCCUCAUGCAGUGAAGAGCAGUGCUCUGACCUUGCAGUUAGCAACACUUUGUUUAAUUGUUACAUACUAUUUUUACUCCAUUGAGCGACAUGAUGCCUGCGUUCUCCAGCACAAAAGUGACAAAGCUGUUAGCAAACUUGGGUGUUCUGCAACACGUAGGUAACCUGAGUUGUUGGAGUGGGGAAGAGAGUUGUGCACGAAGGUGGUCAGCAGAAUGUGUUGGUGAGCUCUCGGCUUCUGGCAACCUUAAACUCAAUAGGGAGCAAACUAAAGAUCGCUAGAUAAAAACAACAUCAACAACAACUUUAUUAUUUAUACCCCACCCAUCUUGCUGGGUUUCCCCAGCCACUCUGAGUGGCUUACAGCAUAUUAAAAAAAUGUAAAAAUUAGACAUUAAAAACUUCCCUAAACAGGGUUGCCUUCAGAUGUCUUCUAAUAGUCAGAUGGGUUGUUUGUUUCCUUGACAUCUGAUGGGAGGGCGUCACUGCCGAGAAGCCCCUCUGCCUGGUUCCCUGUAACCUCACUUCUUGCAGUGAGGGAACUGCCAGAAGGCUCUUAGAGCUGGACCUCAGUGUCCAGGCUGAACGAUGGGGGUGGAGACGCUCCUUCAGGUAUACAGGACCAAAGCCGUUUAGAUUAAACCCAUGUAAACUGUAUUUAUCUUUCUGCAUGCUCAUUGUUAGGAUCUACUCUCAGGAGGUGAAGAGGGGACUGAUUCCAGGCAACAACCUUAACAUCUAUGCGGUGUCUAGAGUUCCUUUGUUCAUGAAUUUAUCUCCUACAUUCUAGCCUAAGUCCUCAACGUUUGUGUGUGUGUGCUGUGUGUGUUGGGGGGGUGUCACUCUAGUUGUCCAUCCACAGGGAGAAGUAUUAUAGUGCAAUAUACAUAUGAACACACACAUACAUGGUUGAGCUAUAUAAAUAAAGCAAGGAUAGGGAACCUCAGAGGCUGGAUGCAGCCCUCACCAUUUGGCCCUCAGGACUCCCAAAGGCCACACCUCCUCUCCUAGGCCACACACACCUGACCCUGCUUUGCACCCUCCUCAAGUGUUUCUGCUUUGCUGGAAUUUGUAUUUGAACCCUGAUAAUGUUUCUUGCUUGCAGGGAUGAAGGAUGCAGAGGGUGUGUGUGUGUGUGUGUGCGCGCGCACACACACACACACAAACAAGUUUACUGUACAAGGGUAAAAUCAGUUCUUUUUUUCUGGGGGGACACAAGGGUUUGCAUAACCCUAAACAUUUUGUGAAUCUAAUGAAAGAAGAAACUAUUUAUUUUUUUUUAGUUUCUUCUCUAGGAUGGUGAAUCGUCACUUCCAUUGCUACCCCCAUUGGUGGCCUCAUUUCCUGUCAGUGUUUCCUGAGUCUCAGAUGGAAUGAGAGUAGCCCUAAACACUUUUUUUAAAGAAAAAAAGCACUGAGUAAAAUUGCCAUUCAUUGAUCCAACCACUUUUGCGUCUGGCCCUGGCCUCCUCUGUCACGUUUUCCCCGGAAAGUUGCCUGGAAAGGAAUGCAGUAGCUGUCAAGCUCUGUGGAAAAACCAGAGAGAGACCUGACAUUAAGCUAUCCACAUAGGUGCAUAUUCUUUUUUUUUUUUUUAAAUAAUUUUUAUUAACCGACCAAUCAAAUCAAAUCACAUCACAUAAAUUCCGAAUUACAAAGCCGAAUUUUAAAUUUUUUGUUGGGAGUACCCAUAUUUCAAGUUCCGAAGGGGAUUCCAAUCAUCUUCUUACUGCUGCGUUAAUAUCCACAAAUUUGUCCAAAUAAUGUUCAUAUUUCUAUCCAGUCCUAUCUUGCUGUUCCCACGUCUCAUCUUAUUCAUAUAUUUUUCUUUUUUCUUUAUGAUCUCUUCUGAUAAUCUCCUUAAGCAAGUAAACACCAGUUAUAAUCUUGUGUGAAUUUUUUCGUUCAUCCAAUCACCAUAUCGAGAUGGUUUCCAUAUAUCAUCACUUCCAUAAAUAAAAGCACUCUUUACAUCAUUAAUCUUCGCAAAUCUGUUGCCUUCUUUUAGUCCUCUGAAGAGGCUCACCCGCAAUAUGAAAGCAGAUCCAUUCCUCCUCCCAGACAUAAGUCUUUCGACAGAACUUGCCAAAAUGGCGACGCUGUUUUUUACUGCGUCAUCCCAAAGCUCUUAUACUUUCCACGAUCUCCUUAAAACACGCUUUUGGUUAGAAAAUUAUCUCCACACAGUCUUAAAUCAUCAGCUUAGGUCAUUUAAGCGGCAUUUCUGACUUGUGGGGGGGGGAUUCUUGGUUAAUCACAUAGAGAAAAGAAAGGAAAGUCCCCCCCCCAUCCAGUCCCGUUGCCGACAUACCGAGCCUUGGUGUGUCUUCUCGUGAUAUAUUCCUGUUUAUCCAACCCAUCUUCUUUAUCAGAGAUCUCUUCAAUUAGCAGUCUUUACUCCCCAUUCUUCCUUGAAAUAUGUGCAUUAGCUUCCUCCUAAUUGUUUCUUUUGAAGUUGCUGCAGCUAGAGGUGCGAAUCAGAGACAGCGUCCAGGAGACCUGAGGUCCACACAAGGGCUUUCUGCCUAGUGCCCCCACCCCCUCGAGUUCGGGGGUGGUAUAGGGCACAGCAGGCUAGGGCAGUUCCCCCCCACUCGCUUGGGGGGGUCGGGAGGCUGCUUACUCCCAUCACAGCCUCUUAAUUACCUCGUGUGGGUUGAAGAGAUGUUAUUGUCAGCCAUCUUCCAAUGCGCCCCUAGUGGCACCCCCAUAGGUGCAUAUUCUUCCCCUGCUUCUGUUGCUUGUGGCCAGGUCAGUGUUUCAUGGGAAUAGCUAUGGAAUAAGGUUGCUAGCUGGUUUUUGUUGUUGUUUUUAACCGGGCUUGCUUUUGGGCCUCCCAACAGCAGAACUGUGGAAAUAAGCAGGUGAAGUUCCCUCCACCAUUUUAUUUUGAUACUCCGGCCAUUUUUGUGUAUGUCUGACUGCUGUUAAAGCCGCAGGAACAGGGCAAGUUUUGCUUUUUAAAAAAUAAAAAUAGUGGCAUUUCUUUCUAGGCAGCUGUGAAUGAGAGGUAAGUCUUUGACUGCAAUAUCUAUCCUUCCAGCCCCUUAGGAUUGGCAUUACUGCAAAAGAAUGCCUGCUUCUGUAUGUAAUUGGCCAUCUAAAGUUAUUUUUGGAGUGCCAGUGAGAGAUGUGAGCACUUUAGAAACCAUAAUAAUUCAGCCUAAUGAAUAAGUCUGCAGUCAGCACACCACACAUAAUAUGGUAUUAAGCUUACAGAACAGCUGAUUCCUUUCCCCAGGUCAGCUGUUGUAUGGUGUUGCCAGAGAUAACUGGUGAAAGUGACAGAUAGCAGAGGAUAUAACGAUAAAUUAAAAGCUAGACUUUUAAUAUCAUUUCAGGUAUGACCUGGGAUUUUCGAUAAUUAGGACUGCUUGCUGUGGAAUAGUUUAAUUUUGUUCACUUUUUUACAUAGUGCUGUCAUCAAGUUCUUCUGUGUUUCCUCCAUGAGUCCACUGUCUGUUUUCAAACUUUGCUUUUUUAUUAUUAAAGUUUGUGUGUGUGUGUGUGUGUGUUACAAAGCAAACAGAUAAACAGGGAAAGGUACAUCUGUUGUCUCCACUUUCAGUUCAUAGUCUUUUUCACAGUUCGUUUACUUUUGGUGAGAGACACUUUCAUCAUAGACAUCUUGCAGUUGGGGGGGGGGAAGAUGGGGAUAUUAUUAUUUUGUUUCAUUGUCUAUCAUUUGUGUAGUAGGGGUUUGUGUCAGCAAACUUUGUUUUAGGAACAGAAUAGAGUCAGCAGCACGGUCUCCAGAAACACACACCCUUCUUAGCCAUUGGUUAGAACAAAAUCAAUUGCACUUGAAGGGCAAAAAUAUUUGAAUGAUUGACUGCAAGACAACUGCAUCUUUAAAAACCAUUAAGUCCUGCCAAUCACACAACAGUGUGUCUGGGCAAGGCUGCUUGGUGCGCGCAUGUGCACAUACUGGCAUCUGCGUUUGGAAGAUGUGGUCGGUUUUUGGGAAUGUAAAAAAGUAAAGAACUUCUGGGAAAUGAUAUAUAAUGAGAUGAAAAAGAAAUAUACAUUUUUUAAAAAACCAGAAGCAUUUUUACUUGGUAUUAUAGGUCAGGACAUUAAUAGGCAAGAUGUUAAAUUGUUUUUAUAUGCAACAACUGUGGCAAGAGUGUUGUUAGCCCAGAAAUGGAAACAAGAAGAAAUUCCGACGAAAGAAGAAUGGCAGACGAAAUUAAUGGACUAUGCAGAAUUAGACAAAAUGACAGGAAGGAUUUGAAACCUGCGGGACCAGAGAUUUACAGAAGAUUGGAAGAAGUAUAUGAAUUAUUUGAAGAGCAAUUGUAAUCAACAAAUUACGCUAGUAGGACUACAAGAAGUUUUGUAAGGAAAAAUAUCCAAAGUGAUACAAAGUAGAAAAAGAUAGAGAUAUUGGUUAUGAGUUUGAAAUGUAAUACGGAAGAUAAGAAAUGCAUACUGAGAGAUUAGAUAGGAAAAUUUUCAGACAGGAUUGAUGGAAGUAAAAAAUUUGAAUAAGAUGUAAAAGUAUGUUUAAUUACUGUUGAAAAUGAUAUGUUAAAAAAAACUAAUAAAAAUUAUAUACAAAAAAAAAAAAAGGAAGAUGUGGUCGCAGGCUUGAUGAGCCUGGCCACACCCCUUUGGGUCAUUUCUUGCACAUGGAGUAAGCAGGGUUUAUUGCCUUGUCUGUGCUGAAUUUAGUGGGUGUGGGUGUGUAGAGGUUGGUGGUGUUAAAAGGGUUGUUUUGGUUAAUUUGGCCUACAUGGUUAAGUUGGUCACAUUGUUCACAGGAAAGUGCAAGAAAGCUGAAUGUUAGAGAAGGUGAGGACCCGUUGAAGGUGCAGGGCGUUUUUGGAGGUCAGCUGCUCUGAGUUGUGAGUCUCUUAGCCUGGACAUGGGACAUUCUUGAGGCUCCACUUCCACAGCUCUCUGGAGUUGAGGGGCUGGGAGCAUGUUAGCCAAUCAGACCUCCCUGCUCACCAUAAGGUUGGGCCCAGGCUUUGGAGCUUCGCCUUGUCAUUCCCCUUGGAAUGGGCACCUGACAUGAUUGAGGAUCGCAGAGCCAGAGACAAGUUUGGAGAGAUAAAAUCGAGAUAUGGAAAUAUGAAAAUAUUGAUGAGAGAUGAGAGGCAGGACUGAGAUUUGGAUAUGCUUCGAGAUUCAGACUGUGGGAAGUCGUAAAAUCAAGAUUAUAAUUUGGAAGACAAUUUGAUUUAUUUGAUUUUUUUAUUUUUAUUGGAUUGUGAUUUGAUAUGUUAAUUGGAUGUUUUUUAUUGGAAAAUUAAUAAACGCUCUAACAACAACAACAGAAAGGAAUGGGCACCUUUUGGCUUGCCCAUGAUUGAAGUUAAAUUAGGUUCCCACACAUUUCCCCUGCAGAUAUAUUUUAAAUAAAAUGUGGUCCUAGUUCAACCCAUCACUUGCAUCUAGCCUUUUUAUUACCAGGUCCAGUCACAAAAUGAAAAUACAAAGACAAACCCUUAAAUUCUCCCUUUAUUGGGGACUAUAUUAGCAGUUCACUUCCAAAAUAUGGGAAUCUUUUUAUAAUAUAUGAGAGAACGGAAAGUCAAAGAAUUGAUCACGAAAAAUGCUAUUUCAUAUUUGUGUCAGACUGGGACCCCCCCCUCUCCCUUUUAGUCAUACCUGUCCUGUAGUAUAUAUCAUACAACCCUGAACACAGAUUUUAAAUUUAGAGGGGACUGGGAUCUACUGUUAAUUAAGGUGGAAAUGAAAAAUGCAGACAUUCUUGGAAAUUAGGACUGAAUUGGAGGGCUAUGAGGCUUUGGGCAGAAUCCAGGAAAAGUUAGUUGUAAGUCCAGUGUCAUUGCUUUCAUUGGCGUUUAGGCAUAACUAUUUUUUUAAAGCUUCUGCCCAUUGAUUGACCAGAUUCCUGCUUCUGUAGAAUUGUCUAGAUGCCUCAUAUUACUAACAAAUGUGAAGCCACGGGUUUGUGUGUAUGUGUAUGUGUAUGUGUACGUAUGACUUGUGGACAUGAUCCCACUGCCUCCUCGGCAUGGUUACUGAAUGCAUGAAAGGGUGUUGGAAGUGGUCUUAGCUCGGUUGUUGCUGUUUUCUAGGUGGACUCAUUUUCUGGUGCUUUUUGUCCAUAAUGAACAGCCCCUGUUCCCCUAGCUGGUCUUCUGUUCUUUAGGGUCACAGAACUGGUAGUGCAUGUUUUCAUGGGUGGUGGUGGCAGCCAAAAUACUGGAUUCAGUUUUCUUCAUCUGACUUUCAUCUUCCCAGUGCGUAUAUGCCAGUUUGUAUGAAUGGAAAAAAGCCUUCUGGUCUUUGGGCUAGGGGUUGCUUUCCUCAUUUUUUUUCACAAUACAGUAUUCUUCUUAUUAUUCAUUCUUGUGUCUUGCAUAAUUGUGUAAAAAGGUUACUUUUUAAUUGUGUCAAUGUCAGAAAAAAAGUUAAGGUGCUUUGUAAGUGAACCUUUGGGGGGGAAAUAAGUGAAAAAGGCUUUUCUAAACAGGCCACCUUUUAAAUGUUUUAUAUAUCAUUCAGUUUACAAAGAUAAUAAUUUUUUUGGGCUGUUAAAGGUAGCUGGGCUUGCUCUUGUUUGCCUUUCAAGGCUCCCUUUUUAUUAGUUCAUGCUUUAAAUUGUGUGCUCAGGGGAAAAAAUGAUUCUCUUCCCAUCAAUUUUUUUCAACAGUUACGAAUCCUAUCAAGAGUUCUGUACAUCUUUCUCGUAGUCUUUAUUUCUUUGGGGUUUUUGUUUUGAUGGGAAAAUAUGAGAGGGGAGGGUGGGAACCUGUUUCAUGAGUUUAAAGAUUUCAAAAAAGAACUAUCUAGCUAAAGAACUAAGUAGAUGACCUUAGGUUUGGCACAGUCUCUUGGUCUUAGCCCCACACCUGCGGUAUAACUGUACUACCUUACAUGGUUUCAGUAAUUCCAGAUUGAUUUAUUUCAUUUUUAGUUUGUAAAAUUAAAAUUUGCAAAAGCUUUGGAACUUCGUUGGGUUGGAUCCUGAGCCUUUAGUUAAAAAUUAUACCCACUUCAAUAUGGUUUACAAUACUAUACAGCAGUCUUCCUUUGUCAACCUAGUGCCCUCCAGAUGUUUUGGCGUACAGUUACAACCAGUUAAGUUUUUUUUAAAAAAACAACAACAACCUGUCAUCUAAGAAUAUAAAGAUACCACCAGCUCUAGCAAUUAAACUCUGCCUUGGGGGCUGUCCAAAGCAGGGGAACUUGGGUUUUGGGAUAGGGAGCAGCUCCCUGAACUAUGGGGCUACUUCCCCUUUGAAUUCUCAGAUAGUUUUAGGUAAAAGAUCCAGGGCCCAGGACAUUAUGUUGACCUAAGGCAAAGUAGUAAUAAAUGUGAUUAAUGGUCCACCCCCCAAUAUUAAGGUCAUAUUAGAUCCCCUUGGUGUGUCUAUUAAACUGCACAAACCUCAACAUUCCCCCACUGCUGUCUAGAGGACAUCCUAUUGCCAGGGGUAAUGUUAGGGCUGCAUAGAGAAGGGAGUCCGGCUUUCAUUUUGUGUUCACUUGCUUGCAUUCAGAAUACUUGCUGCUCCUGUGAAAUAAUCCCAUUGAUGUCAAGCUGAACGGAAAUGCUUGCAAUAUGGAUGAAAGACAACAGCUUGCUCCAUGUGGAAAGGAUAAAAAUGUAAUGAUAUUGUUUUCCUGAUUGCAAAUGAUGCAAUUCAAAGCAAGACCUUUUAUUGGACCACAAUAUUGAUAGACUACAGUAGCAAAGUUUUGCAGAACUUUUAAAAAUAAAUACGUUUGGAUAUAUGCUCGUUGUAAACUUACUUCUCGCUAUCAAUUGGUUGUUCUUUCAGACUUUUAUGCAACCACAUCAAUCAUAAAUAAGGGAGGAGGGGAACAUCAAAAUGAACGUGCAGUUUAUUAAACCAGCAUGUAUGCGCCUUGGAUAAUAGUGUUAAUAGCUCAGCCCUACUCCAAACUUUAAUUCCUCUGUGAAAGGUGUACACCGUUGAGACAAUUAGGCAGAAUAUGCGCCUUAGCCAGCUGACCUUUCUGCUGUGCUUUCCUCUGUGCUUUGAAGAUGUUCAUCAGUUUCCAUUUUCAUGCUGUGCUUACAGGCUGGACAGCUUGAGGAGGAAUUAGACCUGCAUGUAAAUAACAUAGCUAUGUGAUGGGGAUUUGAAACGGUCUCAUAACCUUCAAGGAGAGAGAUGGCAAGGUUAUUCUGAAACUGCUCCAAGCAGCCAUCUCAGAGUUAAAUAUUUAGCACACCCUUGCAAAAAUGCAAUUGCGUAACAGGCAGGAAUGUUGCAGGCUGAUUGUGAAUUCACCGCCUGUCUUGGAACAACAGGCAGUCAGAGAUACCCUCUUGUGGUUCGUAGAGCAGUAACCCUUCCAUUUGUCUCUUGGAUUUUCUUUACGGAUGGAGGUGAGAGGGCCAGAGUAGUUAUGGCUUUGUGCUGGAACUCUUACAUUAUAUAAAGCUACUCUGGCUCCGUGUAGCAUUAUUUAAUCCGUUAUUUAAUCCAUCAUGGCACUGAGGAUCACUAUCUGGCUUGCUUGUCCUUUGCAGAUCUCCCCAUACUGUACUCUUAUCUUAAAGCCACCAUAUGGGAUAUGCUUGAAAGGCUGUUUCCUUGCUGCAAACAAGGCAAACCACUUUUCAUGGUAAAUUUUCGAAUUUGCAUUGAAAAGUGAGUUGUCUCCUCAGCAUGCAGUGGAAGCUCCAAAGAAAUGCUUCAGUCUUUAUUAUUUCCAUUGUGGGCAUGGAGACCAUCUGAAAGUGCCUAAAACAAAUGUUCCUUGAAUCAUACUUUUUAGAAUUACUGAUCUAAAUAAUGUAAAAUCCUCUGAGUAAGAGUUAACAUUUGUCAUGCAAAGCUAGCAUGAGUAGGAGACCCUUAAUACUGUAUUUACUCGAAGGUAAUGCACACCUUUUUUGGUUGAAUGACACCACGAAAAUUAGGGUGCACAUGAGAUUUGAUGGCACAUUUAUGUUCUUUGCAAUAAUUUCCACCAUCAAAAACUUUUGAUUGCAUCAUGCCCUGACGCUGAAAAUUUAGGUUUUCUAAACCUAGUUUUUCCACCAAAAAAGCUACAUUUAUACAUUUUUAAAAGGCAUUUAUAAAAUCUUUUGAGUGCUGAUGUAUUUCCCCCCUGAAAUCCUCAUCAUGUUAUUGAUCACUGUAUAAAAUUUCAAAGAGAUCUGAUCAUUGGUUAUGGAGAAAAAAAUAAAAUGCACACAAGGCCGAGGAUCUCAAGAGGGACAGAAACACAGAUUUCACGAAACUUUGAAGUGCUAUAAAAUUAAAACCGUUUGAGAUAGAGGGGAAAAAAUUAAGGGGGUUUCUUUCAACCAUAAGGGAAGGGUGUGCACCAAGUUUCAACAAAAUCCGAGAUGGUGGGUGGCAUGACCGCGUUGAACUGACAUGGAAUGACGCACACUCAUAAUGACAAUAAAGAAGGCUAUCUAACUUGUUGGAUGUGCACAUUCGGGAAAAAGGACAUAAACAGGAUACUUUGCUAAUAUUUCCACUUUCUACAAAUUAUUUUUCGGAAAGUCUGCAUCUUUCCCACAAUAUAUGCUAAAUUACAUUCUUAACUCAUUUGGAUAGAAAGGUGGGGGGGGGGAACCUCAUGAGAACUUGUGAGUGUGCUGUGGAAAUUGGGAAUGACUGUGUCUUAACCAUUGUCCUGGGCCUCCUUUGAACAACCGGUUCUGCUGACAAUGAAAUGGUCUGCUUAGUAAAUGUGUUCAAUUAACAUUGUCUUACAGAGGGAACCUUUUGUCUUGCACUCAUUGUUACGCAGAAGCAUUCUUGCUCUGCAGUUUUUAUUGCAGCAGGAUUUCUUAAUUUGCAUCUUGCCACUCCUUUGACCCUAUUUCAGCUGCCAGUGCCUUGGUGCUUAUCACAGAUGCUCACUCUAUUUUGUCUUCAUAUGGGGGAAAAUAUAACCAUAGUCUUGGAUUGUGAAGCUACUCUUGGCUGGCAUGAAAAAGGCCAAUUUAUCCGCUACUGUUUCCUUAGCUCCUCUAGUGAAUUUUAAUUUGGUAUCUGGUAUGUCACUACUGAAAAAGCCCUUUCUGUUAUUGUGACUGCUCUGUUUUAAGCAGGAACUGAAAAGAGAACAGCAAAGGUGUCGUCUUCUUCUUUUUUAAAUAAAUUUUUAUUAAAUUUUCCACCAUAAUAACACAAACCACAAAGCAAAUUAAUACAC